RNAcentral lists this non-coding RNA (253 nucleotides) under Vogesella sp. RNAcentral describes it as "partial 16S ribosomal RNA". It matches the Rfam family "Bacterial small subunit ribosomal RNA", at positions 524 to 776 of the family's 1533-position model. The record is from RNAcentral. Lineage: Bacteria; Pseudomonadati; Pseudomonadota; Betaproteobacteria; Neisseriales; Chromobacteriaceae. RNAcentral also lists the same sequence under 2 other names.
UACGUAGGGUGCAAGCGUUAAUCGGAAUUACUGGGCGUAAAGCGUGCGCAGGCGGUUUGAUAAGCCAGAUGUGAAAUCCCCGAGCUCAACUUGGGAACUGCGUUUGGAACUGUCAGACUAGAGUGCGUCAGAGGGGGGUGGAAUUCCGCGUGUAGCAGUGAAAUGCGUAGAGAUGCGGAGGAACACCGAUGGCGAAGGCAGCCCCCUGGGAUGACACUGACGCUCAUGCACGAAAGCGUGGGGAGCAAACAGG